Molecule: small nuclear RNA, 107 nt
Filed under: Aotus nancymaae (Ma's night monkey)
Lineage: Eukaryota; Metazoa; Chordata; Mammalia; Primates; Aotidae
Source: RNAcentral
GUGCUUGCUUCGGCAGCACAUAUACUAAAACUGAAACGAUACAGAGAAGACUAGCAUGGCCCCUGCACAAGGAUGACACGCACUUGCGUGAAGUGUUCCACAUUUUU